AACGCACCUUGCACUCUUUGGUAUUCCGAAGAGUAUGCCUGUUUGAGUGUUAUGAAAUCUCUCAACCUAUCAUUUUUCAUUAGAACUUUGAUUAGGAUUGGAUUCUGAGCGUUGCUGACUAGUUUACUAGUGAAGCUCGUUUGAAAUAGAAUAGCAAAUGUCUAAUCUUUAAUCGGUUUGACUUGGCGUAAUAAGUAACAUUUCGCUAAGGAUUAUCCUUUGGAUAACCGAAUUUUGUAUUAAUGACUUGCUUCUAAAAUUCAUAAUUUUCUAAUUUGACCUCAAAUCAGGUAGGACUACCCGCUGAACUUAA
RNAcentral lists this unclassified non-coding RNA (313 nucleotides) under uncultured Microbotryomycetes. RNAcentral describes it as "sequence contains ITS2". The record is from RNAcentral. Lineage: Eukaryota; Fungi; Basidiomycota; Microbotryomycetes.